UACGGAGGGUGCAAACGUUGCUCGGAAUCAUUGGGCGUAAAGCGAACGUAGGCGGCUAUGUAAGUCGGGUGUGAAAGCCCUCGGCUCAACCGAGGAAGUGCAUUCGAAACUGCAUGGCUUGAGUGUCGGAGAGGAUAGCGGAAUUCCCGGUGUAGAGGUGAAAUUCGUAGAUAUCGGGAGGAACACCCGUGGUGUAGACGGCCUGCUGGACGGCAACUGACGCUGAGGCACGAAAGCGUGGGGAGCAAACAGG
This 253-nucleotide ribosomal RNA is filed under the name uncultured bacterium. Its description in RNAcentral is "partial 16S ribosomal RNA". It matches the Rfam family "Bacterial small subunit ribosomal RNA", at positions 524 to 776 of the family's 1533-position model. The record is from RNAcentral.